AGAGUUUGAUCCUGGCUCAGGAUGAACGCUAGCUACAGGCUUAACACAUGCAAGUCGAGGGGCAGCAUAUCGGUAGCUUGCUACUGAUGAUGGCGACCGGCGCACGGGUGAGUAACGCGUAUCCAACUUCCCCUUAGUAGGGCAUAGCCCGGCGAAAGUCGGAUUAAUACCCUAUGUUAUCCAGCGAUGGCAUCUGAAUUGGAUUAAAGGUUUACCGCUAAGGGAUGGGGAUGCGUCUGAUUAGGUAGUCGGCGGGGUAACGGCCCACCGAGCCUGCGAUCAGUAGGGGUUCUGAGAGGAAGGUCCCCCACAUUGGAACUGAGACACGGUCCAAACUCCUACGGGAGGCAGCAGUGAGGAAUAUUGGUCAAUGGGCGAGAGCCUGAACCAGCCAAGUAGCGUGCAGGAAGACGGCCCUAUGGGUUGUAAACUGCUUUUAUACAGGGAUAAAGUCGGGGACGUGUCCCCGUUUGUAGGUACUGUAUGAAUAAGGACCGGCUAAUUCCGUGCC
This 511-nucleotide ribosomal RNA is filed under the name uncultured bacterium. RNAcentral's name for it is "bacterial SSU rRNA". It matches the Rfam family "Bacterial small subunit ribosomal RNA", at positions 8 to 509 of the family's 1533-position model. The record is from RNAcentral.